UCUACCUAGUAGUAUGGAAUAAUUGUUGGAAACGGCAACUAAUACCGUAUACGCCCUACGGGGGAAAAAUUUAUUGCUAUUGGAUGAGCCUAUAUUAGAUUAGCUAGUUGGUGGAGUAAUAGCCUACCAAGGCAAUGAUCUAUAGCUGAUCUGAGAGGAUGAUCAGCCACACUGGAACUGAGAUACGGUCCAGACUCCUACGGGAGGCAGCAGUGGGGAAUAUUGGACAAUGGGCGAAAGCCUGAUCCAGCCAUGCCGCAUGAGUGAAGAAGGCCUUUGGGUUGUAAAGCUCUUUUAGUGAGGAAGAUAAUGACGGUACUCACAGAAGAAGUCCUGGCUAACUCCGUGCCAGCAGCCGCGGUAAUACGGAGAGGGCUAGCGUUAUUCGGAAUUAUUGGGCGUAAAGGGCGCGUAGGCUGGUUAAUAAGUUAAAAGUGAAAUCCCGAGGCUUAACCUUGGAAUUGCUUUUAAAACUAUUAAUCUAGAGAUUGAAAGAGGAUAGAGGAAUUCCUGAUGUAGAGGUAAAAUUCGUAAAUAUUAGGAGGAACACCAGUGGCGAAGGCGUCUAUCUGGUUCAAAUCUGACGCUGAAGCGCGAAGGCGUGGGGAGCAAACAGGAUUAGAUACCCUGGUAGUCCACGCUGUAAACGAUGAAUGUUAAAUAUGGGAAGUUUACUUUCUGUAUUACAGCUAACGCGUUAAACAUUCCGCCUGGGGACUACGGUCGCAAGAUUAAAACUCAAAGGAAUUGACGGGGACCCGCACAAGCGGUGGAGCAUGUGGUUUAAUUCGAUGCAACGCGAAAAACCUUACCACUUCUUGACAU
Molecule: ribosomal RNA, 825 nt
Filed under: Wolbachia endosymbiont of Varroa destructor
Lineage: Bacteria; Pseudomonadati; Pseudomonadota; Alphaproteobacteria; Rickettsiales; Anaplasmataceae
Description: bacterial SSU rRNA
Rfam family: Bacterial small subunit ribosomal RNA
Source: RNAcentral